RNAcentral lists this small nuclear RNA (324 nucleotides) under Canis lupus familiaris (dog). Its description in RNAcentral is "7SK RNA". It matches the Rfam family "7SK RNA". From Rfam's summary of the family: 7SK was discovered as an abundant small nuclear RNA in the mid-70s but a possible function has only recently been suggested. The record is from Rfam by way of RNAcentral. Lineage: Eukaryota; Metazoa; Chordata; Mammalia; Carnivora; Canidae.
GGAUGUGAGGGCGAUCUGGCUGUGACAUCUGUCACCCCAUUGAUCGCCAGGGUUGAUUCGGCUGAUCUGGCUGGCUAGGCGGGUGUCCCCUUCCUCCCUCACCGCUCCAUGUGCAUCCCUCCCGAAGCUGCACGCUCGGUCGAAGAGGACGACCAUCCCCGAUAGAGGAGGACCGUUCUUCGGUCAAGGGUAUAUGAGUAGCUGCACUCCCCUGCUAGAACCUCCAAACAAGCUCUCAAGGUCCUUAUACCCUUCACGUACUUUCCUCCAGUGGUAGCCACUUACAAAACUAUAGUUUACUGUCACAUUGAGGAUAUUGACUCU